AACGACCUAGACCGUGUGGAAACGGUCACCCAACACAACAUCCCUGACCUACCCUGAGAGGCAACAAAAGAAGAAAAACAUCAGAGCUGGAGAUCAGAAGAAGCCAAGAGAUUCAGACUCUGCCAAAGCAAACAUGCAUGGCGCAGGCCAAGAGCCUAGAGAAGAAACCAGAUUGCAAUCAAAACCACGGCUGAAUGGUCUGUCUAGAAGCAUGGCUUCAAUAAAACAGGUGUCCUCCACUAUCUUAGAGACCUCCAGUAAUACCAGGACGUUCUGAUGAAAUCAACUACAGAGAAAACAUCUCCACCGGAACAAACCUGAUAUUUGCUUUGGCAGCUCUAGAAGCAGCUAAGUAUCACCCAAGGAAGAAAGCUGGACCUGGAAUCAGGAAGACAUGAAUCCAGCCUCAGUCACUUACAGCUGUGUGACC
Molecule: long non-coding RNA, 430 nt
Organism: Trichosurus vulpecula (common brushtail)
Lineage: Eukaryota; Metazoa; Chordata; Mammalia; Diprotodontia; Phalangeridae
Exons: 3
Source: RefSeq, a predicted model, not a curated record